This 119-nucleotide ribosomal RNA is filed under the name Pteropus alecto (black flying fox). The record is from RNAcentral. Lineage: Eukaryota; Metazoa; Chordata; Mammalia; Chiroptera; Pteropodidae.
GUCUACGGCCACGUCACCAUGAAUACGCCCGAUCCCGUCUGAUCUCAGAAGCUAAGCAGGGUCGGGCAUGGUUAGUACUUGGAUUGGAGACCACCUAGGAAGACCAAGUGCUGUAGGCG